Molecule: ribosomal RNA, 582 nt
Filed under: uncultured bacterium
Lineage: Bacteria
Description: bacterial SSU rRNA
Rfam family: Bacterial small subunit ribosomal RNA
Source: RNAcentral
ACGGGUGAGUAAUACAUCGGAACGUGCCCUGUAGUGGGGGAUAACUAGUCGAAAGAUUAGCUAAUACCGCAUACGACCUGAGGGUGAAAGUGGGGGACCGCAAGGCCUCAUGCUAUAGGAGCGGCCGAUGUCUGAUUAGCUAGUUGGUGGGGUAAAGGCCCACCAAGGCGACGAUCAGUAGCUGGUCUGAGAGGACGAUCAGCCACACUGGGACUGAGACACGGCCCAGACUCCUACGGGAGGCAGCAGUGGGGAAUUUUGGACAAUGGGCGAAAGCCUGAUCCAGCAAUGCCGCGUGUGUGAAGAAGGCCUUCGGGUUGUAAAGCACUUUUGUCCGGAAAGAAAUGGCUCUGGUUAAUACCUGGGGUCGAUGACGGUACCGGAAGAAUAAGGACCGGCUAACUACGUGCCAGCAGCCGCGGUAAUACGUAGGGUCCAAGCGUUAAUCGGAAUUACUGGGCGUAAAGCGUGCGCAGGCGGUUGUGCAAGACCGAUGUGAAAUCCCCGAGCUUAACUUGGGAAUUGCAUUGGUGACUGCACGGCUAGAGUGUGUCAGAGGGGGGUAGAAUUCCACGUGUAGCA